This 253-nucleotide ribosomal RNA is filed under the name uncultured bacterium. RNAcentral describes it as "partial 16S ribosomal RNA". It matches the Rfam family "Bacterial small subunit ribosomal RNA", at positions 524 to 776 of the family's 1533-position model. The record is from RNAcentral.
UACAGAGGUCUCAAGCGUUGUUCGGAAUUACUGGGCGUAAAGGGCUCGUAGGCGGCCAACUAAGUCAGACGUGAAAUCCCUCGGCUUAACCGGGGAACUGCGUCUGAUACUGGAUGGCUUGAGGUUGGGAGAGGGAUGCGGAAUUCCAGGUGUAGCGGUGAAAUGCGUAGAUAUCUGGAGAAACACCGGUGGCGAAGGCGGCAUCCUGGACCAAUUCUGACGCUGAGGAGCGAAAGCCAGGGGAGCAAACGGG